Molecule: long non-coding RNA, 770 nt
Organism: Penaeus monodon (black tiger shrimp)
Lineage: Eukaryota; Metazoa; Arthropoda; Malacostraca; Decapoda; Penaeidae
Exons: 3
Source: RefSeq, a predicted model, not a curated record
GACAGCGAAUGCAUGUUGUGAGUGUGUGAGUCUUUCAUUUUCGUCUUUAUCGUAUUUAUCUCGUUUAUUGUAUUUUCCUUCGAUUCCACGAACCCUCCUCUGCUCCGGGCCCGAGAAAGAGGCGCGUGAUCGUGAUGGCAUGAUGGCUUCAGGCAAGGACCGUCGCGGCUACGAACACGAGUCCUCAAGUGACACCGACAACCCGGACUCCGACGACCGCCGUCCAAGACCCUACCGGAACCGCUUCGGGUAAGUGUGAAACCUGAACACCUUGAAAGCGUGCAGAGGUGCAGUUGGAGGCGUGCAGGUAAGUGCCGGAAGUAGACAGAUAUUUGAAAGGAAGGUUAUAGAUUAUGGACGAGUAGAUUCGGAGAUAUUUGAAAGGAAGGAUAUAGAUUAUGGAGAUACUUGAAAGGAACGAUAUAGAUUAUGGACGAGUAGAUUCGGAGAGUUUUGACGUAAAAGCAUAGGCCCGCGGUAUUUUUUACGUAACGCUUUUGUUGUUACCCGUGGUGUUUCGACUCCUAUUGUCGUCAAAUAUAUUCAGUACAUUUGCAUAUCUCUGCACUUUUUACUUGAUUUCUUCAAUUCGAGUCUCUCCUUCGAUUUCUGUGUAGUUCCACUCUUGUAAUUAAAUCCCCCCCUUCAACCCCCACCCGCCUUCUCACCCGUCUUUCCCCGCGCGAGGCUGUACAAUUUUCACAUGCUACAAGCACAUUCUCGUUGUAGGCUUUCGGGAUGUGAAUAUCAAGUGCCGUCGUCCCGCGCGG